AUCGCUUCUCGGCCUUUUGGCUCAGAUCAAGUGUAGUAUCUGUUCUUAUCAGUUUAAUAUCUGAUAUGUCCCCCAUCGGGGGACUACAUAUUAAAUGGAUUUUUCGAACAGGGAGUCGGAAAUGGGGCUUGCUCCAUCCGCUCCACGCAUCGACCCGGUAUUGCAGUACCUCCGGGAACGGUGCAACACUU
Molecule: small nuclear RNA, 191 nt
Organism: Salmo trutta (river trout)
Lineage: Eukaryota; Metazoa; Chordata; Actinopteri; Salmoniformes; Salmonidae
Gene: U2
Rfam family: U2 spliceosomal RNA
About the family: U2 is a small nuclear RNA (snRNA) component of the spliceosome (involved in pre-mRNA splicing).
Source: Ensembl